GUGCACAAUUCAGCAGCACGUACACUAAAAUUGGGAUGAUACAGAGAUUAACAUGGCCUCUGUGCAAGGAUGACAUGCAAAUUCAUGAAGCUUUCCAUAUUUGG
Molecule: small nuclear RNA, 104 nt
Organism: Lutra lutra (Eurasian river otter)
Lineage: Eukaryota; Metazoa; Chordata; Mammalia; Carnivora; Mustelidae
Source: RefSeq, a predicted model, not a curated record